Molecule: long non-coding RNA, 750 nt
Organism: Crotalus tigris (Tiger rattlesnake)
Lineage: Eukaryota; Metazoa; Chordata; Lepidosauria; Squamata; Viperidae
Exons: 3
Source: RefSeq, a predicted model, not a curated record
GUGGCCACGCACCGGAAAUCUGGAAAUCUGCGAAAGCGAAAGCGAUGCCGCCAUGAAAUCCGGCGGAGCGGCUGGGAAGUGGCGGCCGCGGGCCUAGGAGGGCGACGCGGCCGCCAAGAGGAGCCGCGGGCCCGGCACCGGGAUGGGCAAUUUUUGUCCCCAAUGUGGACAGAAAGUUGAAGAAAUGUUUCACUUCUGUCCUGCCUGCGGAGGCCGGCUUCCGGUUCAAGAAGAAGAACCAAUGCAGAUCACCCCAUCUCCUUCUCUGAAUGAUGAGGAGGAAUCUGUGAAAAAAAACCCAACAAAUGUUCCCUGGUUUGGCAGGUGAGUAGUAUUUACGGUCUAACUGAGGCAUUUGGUGAUUCCCAGCGUCACUAAGAAUGUCCUGGUUUUUAUUAUGCCCCCUUAGCGACAGGACAGAGAAACAUCUUCAGGAACUGAACUGUGGGUGCUCUGUACAAUUGUCCCUUCAGAGCACCCCUCCUCUUUAAUUCAAAAAGUGGGAGAGGUCAGGACUCACUCUAAAGGGUUACUUCAACCCUCAGGGCUUCACCAGUAAGCCACGGGCAAGGAAAGAGGAAUUAUCUGCAUUACGCAAGCUUCCAGUCCAUGCAAUGCAACCCUCGAUACGUAGGCUGGCUCAGAAUCUCUCCUGCCUCUCUCUGUGUCCUUCUAGGGCACGGCAAAGGAGCGGAGCUUUGGCGAGGUGAAGUUCAAGCAGUGAGCAUUUUAAGAAACACGGCACUGAGC